Molecule: ribosomal RNA, 350 nt
Filed under: uncultured bacterium
Lineage: Bacteria
Description: bacterial SSU rRNA
Rfam family: Bacterial small subunit ribosomal RNA
Source: RNAcentral
AGAGUUUGAUCAUGGCUCAGGAUGAACGCUAGCUACAGGCUUAACACAUGCAAGUCGAGGGGAAACGAUAUUGGAAGCUUGCUUCCGAUAGGCGUCGACCGGCGCACGGGUGAGUAACGCGUAUCCAACCUGCCCACCACUUGGGGAUAACCUUGCGAAAGUAAGACUAAUACCCAAUGAUAUCUCUAGAAGACAUCUGAAAGAGAUUAAAGAUUUAUCGGUGAUGGAUGGGGAUGCGUCUGAUUAGCUUGUUGGCGGGGUAACGGCCACCAGGCGACGAUCAGUAGGGUUCUGAGAGGACGGUCCCCACAUUGGAACUGAGACACGGUCCAAACUCCGUACGGGAGGCA